Molecule: ribosomal RNA, 488 nt
Filed under: Veillonella parvula
Lineage: Bacteria; Bacillati; Bacillota; Negativicutes; Veillonellales; Veillonellaceae
Description: bacterial SSU rRNA
Rfam family: Bacterial small subunit ribosomal RNA
Source: RNAcentral
GACGAACGCUGGCGGCGUGCUUAACACAUGCAAGUCGAACGAAGAGCGAUGGAAGCUUGCUUCUAUCAAUCUUAGUGGCGAACGGGUGAGUAACGCGUAAUCAACCUGCCCUUCAGAGGGGGACAACAGUUGGAAACGACUGCUAAUACCGCAUACGAUCUAAUCUUGGCAUCGAGGAUAGAUGAAAGGUGGCCUCUACAUGUAAGCUAUCACUGAAGGAGGGGAUUGCGUCUGAUUAGCUAGUUGGAGGGGUAACGGCCCACCAAGGCGAUGAUCAGUAGCCGGUCUGAGAGGAUGAACGGCCACAUUGGGACUGAGACACGGCCCAGACUUCUACGGGAGGCAGCAGUGGGGAAUCUUCCGCAAUGGACGAAAGUCUGACGGAGCAACGCCGCGUGAGUGAUGACCGGCUUCGGGUUGUAAAGCUCUGUUAAUCGGGACGAAAGGCCUUCUUGCGAAUAGUGAGAAGGAUUGACGGUACCGGAAUA